RNAcentral lists this long non-coding RNA (300 nucleotides) under Nicotiana benthamiana. Its description in RNAcentral is "long non-coding RNA (NBEN_LNC017032)". The record is from RNAcentral. Lineage: Eukaryota; Viridiplantae; Streptophyta; Magnoliopsida; Solanales; Solanaceae.
CUCAUUGUAGCCUUUCUCUACAAUAUCCCAAACAUCAUGUGCACCUAGGAGAGCCUUCAUCUUGAUACUCCAAUUAUCAUAGUUGCUCUUGUUGAUCAUAGGAACUUGGAAGGAUGCAACACCAUUUGCCAUUGUUUUAAAAAAAUUUGGAUAGAAUCUUGUGGCUCUGAUACCACUUUGUUGGAAGAGGAUUGCUACUAAUAUUUGGAGGGAGGCUUUUAGGCUAAGGGAAUUUUGGAAGAGUGGAAAGAUUUUGGAGAAGAGAAACUUUUAUUACUCAAACUUGUUUUUGAUUUUUUU